GCCUGGGUGGCUCAGUGGGUUGAGCGUCUGACUUGAACUCAGGUCACGAUCUCGCGGUUCAUGGGUUCGAGCCCCGCGUCGGGCU
This is a transfer RNA of Felis catus (domestic cat), 85 nucleotides long. It matches the Rfam family "tRNA". Rfam says of the family: Transfer RNA (tRNA) molecules are approximately 80 nucleotides in length. Lineage: Eukaryota; Metazoa; Chordata; Mammalia; Carnivora; Felidae. The record is from Rfam.